CCCUUAGAUGUUCUGGGCCGCACGCGCGCUACAAUGAUGAAUUCAACGAGUUUAUAACCUUGGUUGAAAAGCCUGGGUAAUCUUUUGAACUUUCGUCGUGAUGGGGCUAGACCCUUGCAAUUAUUGGUCUCCAACGAGGAAUCCCUAGUAAACGCAAGUCAUCAGCUUGCAUUGAUUACGUCCCUGCCCUUUGUACACACCGCCCGUCGCACCUACCGAUUGAAUGGUCCGGUGAAAUCUUCGGAUUGAGACUUUGAUUUCUUCACGGAAAACGCUGUUUUAAAAAGUUGAUUAAACCUUACCAUUUAGAGGAAGGUGAAGUCGUAACA
Molecule: ribosomal RNA, 329 nt
Filed under: uncultured eukaryote
Lineage: Eukaryota
Description: partial 18S ribosomal RNA
Rfam family: Eukaryotic small subunit ribosomal RNA
Source: RNAcentral